This 1129-nucleotide long non-coding RNA is filed under the name Prunus persica (peach). Its description in RNAcentral is "long non-coding RNA (PPER_LNC008287)". Lineage: Eukaryota; Viridiplantae; Streptophyta; Magnoliopsida; Rosales; Rosaceae. The record is from RNAcentral.
UCCCUCUCUCGAUGAUGAAAGAGGUCUUUGCCUUGUCAUCGUCGUACAUCAUAAUUUGAUUAUAGCCGGAGUAGGCAUCCAUGAAGCUGAGUAGCUGGUUGCCGGAAGUCGAAUCCACGAGCUGGUCGAUCCUUGGCAAUGGGAAGUUGUCUUUAGGGCAUGCUUUGUUGAGGUCGGUGUAAUCGACGCACACCCUCCAUUUGCCCUUUUCUUGUUUUGCUACCAGAACAACGUUGGCCAGCCAUUCUGAGUAGGAGACCUCUUCAAUAAAUCCAGCGGCUAGAAGCUUGUCGAUCUCGGCUUCAAUGAUCGCGACUCGCUCGGGAGCGAAGUUGCGUCUCUUUUGCACCACGGGCUUGCUGGCAGGGUUGACAUGGAGGCGGUGGCAGAUGAUGUUUGGGUCGAUGCCGGGCAUGUCAGAUGGUGACCACGCGAACAUGUCUUUGUUGUUUUGGAGGAAGGUGGUAAGCUCCACCUUCUCGUCUGGGCUGCUGCUCUGCUCGUCAGACUUUGUAUUUCCUUCACUGUGAAAGGUGACUUCAUCUCGAGAAUAGAUUUAAUUUGGCGUGGGUGUGCCUCUAUACCUCGUUGUGUGACUAAGUACCCCAGGAAUCGGCCGGAUGAUACACCGAACGUGCAUUUACUUGGAUUCAGCUUCAUGCGGUAUUGGCGGAGCAGGCUGAAUGCCUCGGCGAGGUUUUUGAGGUGGUCUCCACGCUUGGGGGCUUUGACCAGCAUAUCAUCCACGUAGACUUCCAUGGUUCUACCGAUCUGCUCCUUGAAAAUCUUAUUCACGAGCCUUUGAUAGGUUGCUCCAGCAUUCUUCAACCCAAAGGGCAUGACCUUGUAGCAGUAGGUCCCUCUCUCGAUGAUGAAAGAGGUCUUUGCCUUGUCAUCGUCGUACAUCAUAAUUUGAUUAUAGCCGGAGUAGGCAUCCAUGAAGCUGAGCAGCUGGUUGCCGGAAGUCGAAUCCACGAGCUGGUCGAUCCUUGGCAAUGGGAAGUUGUCUUUAGGGCAUGCUUUGUUGAGGUCGGUGUAAUCGACGCACACCCUCCAUUUGCCCUUUUCUUGUUUUGCUACCAGAACAACGUUGGCCAGCCAUUCUGAGUAGGAGACCUCUUCAAUAAAU